GUAGGUGGCAAGCGUUGUCCGGAAUUAUUGGGCGUAAAGCGCGCGCAGGCGGUCUUUUAAGUCUGAUGUGAAAGCCCACGGCUCAACCGUGGAGGGUCAUUGGAAACUGGAGAACUUGAGUACAGAAGAGGAAAGCGGAAUUCCACGUGUAGCGGUGAAAUGCGUAGAGAUGUGGAGGAACACCAGUGGCGAAGGCGGCUUUCUGGUCUGUAACUGACGCUGAGGCGCGAAAGCGUGGGGAGCAAACAGGGAUUAGAUACCCUGGUAGUCCACGCCGUAAACGAUGAGUGCUAAGUGUUAGGGGGUUUCCGCCCCCUUAGUGCUGCAGCUAACGCAUUAAGCACUCCGCCUGGGGAUACGGCCGCAAGGCUG
This 372-nucleotide ribosomal RNA is filed under the name uncultured organism. Its description in RNAcentral is "partial 16S ribosomal RNA". It matches the Rfam family "Bacterial small subunit ribosomal RNA", at positions 527 to 896 of the family's 1533-position model. The record is from RNAcentral.